GUUUUAAUAAUUUAAAUAAAUAAAAUUUUGGUCUUGUAAACCAAACUUAAGGAUACACCUUUUAAAACU
This 69-nucleotide transfer RNA is filed under the name Pseudoglomeris montshadskii. Its description in RNAcentral is "tRNA-Thr". Lineage: Eukaryota; Metazoa; Arthropoda; Insecta; Blattodea; Blaberidae. The record is from RNAcentral.